AGUGAGCUCUGCAUCUGCCUCUCUGUCUGCAUGUUGUCUGGGCUGUGAUCCAUGUGAGGAGUGCAGAUUAGUGGGGAGGAUAAACAGCAUCACUUCAAUGAGACGGUGGAGCCAGAGGCCUGUUUUUUAUCUUAUGAUGGUGUGCAAGCUUCUCUCUAGCAACCUCCAAACAGUCACUGAAUUAAUGGCUAUUUUCAAGGGAGAGAAAAGACUCUCAGGCUAUGUCAGAUUCUCAGAGUUUGGUAAUCUGGAAAGGGUUAAGAACUUGCUGCCAUAAUUCUAUCACAGACUGCUCUUGCUUCUACAGAAAAACAAAAAACAAAAAACACGGAGCAUCUUAAGAAGAAUCUCCUAUCUGAAUCUAAGACAAGAAAAUGGCAUUUUUGUCUACUUUUAUUUGCAGUGAUGGCAUUUUUGUCUACUUGUAUUUGCAAUGUUUAUUCUGUCUUCCCUCUACCCCCUCACACCAGCACCAAUUAUUCCACACCUGCUGGUGAACAAGCAGAGGCCUCUUUACACCUAUAUCCGCAUGGUCUUCAUUACUGGAUUGAGAAAAACACUGAUGAUGAAGUAGUUUUCCGCCCAUUACCUGUCUCUAAUAAUAUGCUUGUCAUCACAAUUAGUUUCACCAUCCCUGGCUUGCUUUUCUGUCAUUUCUUUCCCUUGAGUUCUGUUAAUAGCAGAAAUUGGCUGCUAAACUAUUAUUCUGGUCUGUGUAAUGGGGCUGAUGGCAGAAACAUUCUGCUUCUUUUGACAACUGGGUAUGAUUUGUAAAGGUGUGAAGAAGAAUUGCUAAUACUUCUGGGCUCCAUUACAUUAACCUGGAAGGCAUUCUACCCAAGAAAUGAAUCCAAUAUUAAAUUGCCUGUUUUAUGAGUUUUUAUUUAAUAAUUUUUCUAAUCUUUACAAUGUUUUCAUAGCUUCAGUAUUUUCAGAUCUCUAUUUCCUGAGAUUAAUAUGGCAACUUCAUUUUAUGAAUGCUAUUUUAUUAGAUUUUCUUUAUUUUUGAGGUAAGAGAAACGGAAGGGAAGAGUUAUUUGUAAGUUUCUCUUCUUUCUCCUGUGUUCCUCUCCCAGUUUCUGCCUGGUGUCUGGAUGAUUAGGCAAGGUUUCCCAGGACCAUAAACCUUUAUUUACAAUGACAAUGCUACCAAAAUACCACCAAAAAGUCACAAAGCCCCAAAUCAAAAAGCAAACAAAAAUCCCUCCACAGGUCAAGGCAUUCAGAGGUGAUCCUGAAGGCCUUUGGAGGGCAUAAGUAGGGAGGCAAAAAGCACCAGUGUGCAUUCUAGAAACUCCCCCUAGGUAGCCACAGUAUGGAUUGUGAUAGGAUUGUCUGAGUGGGCUCAAUUUGGGAGGCCACUGCAGUCAUCAGAGUGUAAAGGCCUAAAGUGGGGCAGAAGAGGGAAGGAUGAAAAGGAGAGGCAGAGUCAAGAACUAUUUGGAAGGUAAAACCAGCAGGAGUUGGUAACUAAUUAGAUGUGAAGGCAGAGAAGUAACAAUAAUAACUACUAAUUAAUGAUCAUAGGGCUUUCCUGCAUAAUCACAUUUAACCCUUGCAAUACCCUAGGUGAGGAGUAGUAUUACGUCUAAACAAAUGAGGAAACAGAGGCACUGUGAGGUUAAGAAAAUUGCCCAAGGUCAUGUAACAAAUAUGGUAGACCCUGGCAGACUCCAAAUCUGAACAGCUAGCCACUGUGUGACACGGUGAGAAGACUCAAGGAUGAUCUCUGGGUUUCUCCAGGAAAGGCUGGUGUGUGUGUGAUGGUGUCAAUAGUGAGUUGCAAAAUAUAGGAAGAAAGAAGAUUUAGAAAGAAGAUAGUAUUCAGCUCAGUAUAACCCCAUAGUCCAGAGCAAUGGUUAAAGUCAGAUAGCACAAGCAAAUUACACACUUUGCUAAAAGACGCCCCAAUAAUUAAAUGUUGUUCAAUGAAGUGGUAGAAAUCAAGAAAUGGAAAAGGCUGAGUAUGAAGCAUGAGACUGUAUUCAUGCUUAAAGUAUAUUGUUGACCUUCCUUUUUGAAGAUGACUAUAAUUAUCUGCUAGAUGAUACAAAAUAAAUUCUCAGCAAUUAUUAGUUGAGUUGCCAUCCCCAUAGAAACUAGCAAGUUCUACAAAAGGUAAUAUUUCUUUAGCUUGCUGCUGUUGGGUUUAUCUAUCCCUGUCCUUCUCUGAAUCUUGUUAAUACCAAAAAGGUUUAUAUAAGAAAAUGGUAUUAUCAAAGACUUGAAAAGUUUUUAAAGUGUUGCCUGGUUAAGGAUUCAUGAAAAUAUUGGGUAGCAACAUUAUACAGUGAAAAAUAAACUAGGCUUAGAAUAAAAACACUAAGUUUGAAUCCUGACUUGAACAAUUGUUUUAUGACACUGGGCAAGUGAUCCAUAGAUCUCUCUCAGUCUCACUGUCUUCAUUUGCAAACUUAGGCCAAUGAUAACUCACAGACGGUUGUUGCAAUUAUUAAAUAAAAUAAUGUAUGUCUCAGUAUUUAGCAGAGCAUUAGGUACACUGCAGAAGCUUAAUAUAUUCAAAUGUUUUUCCUUCCACCCUUUAUGGACAAAAGCCAUGUAUGUCUUUUAGUUUAUACGCUAAAAUGUUGUGUGUCAGUUACAAUGUUCUGUGCAUGAUGAAUAUUUAAUAAUGUGUAUGUUUGUUUUCAUUUUAAACACACCUGUGCUAUGCAGAAUGUGGCUGUGAAAUCACAGAGCCUGUACUAUUUUGAUGCAUGUUAAACAUUUAUACAGUGACAGUUAAGCUUUUGAAAAUUCUAUUAAGUUUAUAUGUUCACAAAUUCCACCCAAAUAAGUCAACAGCAGUAAAAGAAAUCUUAUCAAUGACAAGUAGAGCAGCUUAGUUUGACAAAUCAAAGAUAAGCUUUACCAUCACACUCUCCAACGGAACAGUUAGAGGAAAGAAAACAUACUCUCUGCCUUCUGGGAUAUUUAAUUGUACUGAUCUUGGCAGCUAACUUGUAUCUGUUGUAUUUUAUUUACAAAACUUUUCACUCUCAAGGGAAGAUGUUCUGUGAAGAUUAAAGGAACAACUUUGCAA
Molecule: long non-coding RNA, 3043 nt
Organism: Homo sapiens (human)
Lineage: Eukaryota; Metazoa; Chordata; Mammalia; Primates; Hominidae
Exons: 2
Source: RefSeq, a predicted model, not a curated record